GUAAGACCAGUCUGAACGAGUGGACCCUAUCGUGUCGCAGAGCUUUUUCAUGCGCAUGUGCAUUUCUUAUUUACCUUUUAUAUUGACGACGUUAUUGUCCAGUUGAAAUAUUAUAGAUCAUUUAGACUACAAAACAACCCGAGGAUUGAAUAUAAACAUCGUUUGACAUAUUUCUAUGAACUUUACGGAUACAAUUUGGAUUUUUUGUCAGAUUGUUUUGAUUGCGUUUGAGCCUGUGGAUUACUGAAGAAAACGAGCUAACAAAAUUGAUGUUUUUGGAUAUAAAGAGACUUCAUCGAACAAAAGGAACAUUUAUUGAGUAAAUGAAUGUCUUCUGAUUGCCUCCAUAUGAAGAUCAUCAAAGGAUUAUCCGCUCCGAUAACCGAGACACCAGACCAGCUUGGCGGCAGAGAGACAAGCCAGCUGAAAUCAGGGGGCAGUAUUUUCACGUCCGGAUAAAUGCAUGCCCAAAUUCAACUGCCUGCUACUCAUCCCCAGAAGAUAUGAUGUGCAUGUAUUAGUAGAUUUGGAUAGAAAACACUCUGACGUUUCUAAAACUAUUUGAAUCGUGACUGUGAGUAUAACAGAACUUAUGUAGCAGGCAAAACCCAGAGGAAAAACCAG
This is a long non-coding RNA of Oncorhynchus tshawytscha (Chinook salmon), 624 nucleotides long. Lineage: Eukaryota; Metazoa; Chordata; Actinopteri; Salmoniformes; Salmonidae. The record is from Ensembl.